This 539-nucleotide ribosomal RNA is filed under the name uncultured bacterium. Its description in RNAcentral is "bacterial SSU rRNA". It matches the Rfam family "Bacterial small subunit ribosomal RNA", at positions 353 to 871 of the family's 1533-position model. The record is from RNAcentral.
CUUGUGGCUACUUGCGCAAUGGCCGAAGGCUGACGCAGCGACGCCGCGUGGAGGACGAUCUCCGCUAGGACGUAAACUCCCCCUGCAGGGGAAGACCUCCCCUCCUGGGGGAAGUGACGGUACUCUGCGACUAAGGAUCGGCUAACUACGUGCCAGCAGCCGCGGUACUACGUAGGCUCCGAGCGUUGUCCGGACCACUGGGUGUAAAGGGCGUGUAGGUGGAUCUCUAACUCGAUGGUGAAAUCCUGUAGCUUAACUGUAGAACUGCCGUCGAUACUGAAGCUCUUUGAGUACGGCAGAGGGAGAUGGAAUUCAUGGUGUAGCGGUGAAAUGUGUAGAUAUCAUGAAGAACACCGGUCGCGAAGGCGGUCUCCUGGUCCGUUUCUGACACUGAGGCGCGAAAGCGUGGGGAGCAAACAGGAUAGAUCCCUGGUAGUCCACGCCUUAAACGAGGGUCUCCGUUGUUGGCCCCGCUCGGUGCUUGCUUCGGCGAGCUUCGGGCCGGGGCCAGUGCCAAAGCUAACGCAUUAAGUACCUCC